UAUAAAUCUAUGUAGAAAGGUUUUUGAAGAUUGUAUUUUUCUCUUUUCUAUUUUUGUUGCUAUUGGUUUUGACAGCAUUGUAACUCCUACUCUAUCUUUUCAUUUAUUGGUUGUCUAAUGUAGGAUGUCGGAACAUCCCAGUGAAACAACGGGUGAGGAGGACGCCGAGGAGGAUAUUUUUGAAUUGGGAGAAGAUGUUAGUCAACUGUUAAAGAAGCAAAGAACACUUAGAUCAAAGGAGUGGUAUGAAAAGGCACAUUGUUCUAGCAUCCAUGCAUUCCAAAAAUCGGAGAUGGACCAGUACUUGGAGGAGAUUGUGUUUCUAAAUAUCAAGGACUUUAAUAUUUUUACAUUGGUGGAAGGAUGGCACGUGAUAUUUUGGCUGUUCCGGCUACUACAGUUGCUUCAGAGGUGGCGUUUAGUGUGGGAGGUAGGGUAACUGAUGAAAGUCGUGCUUCUUUACUUCCAGAUAUCGUAGAGGCUUUGAUGACUGCCAAUGAUUGGAUUGAACCCCCUAAGAAAAUAAUUGAUGAAGCAAGUGUUACCGAACAACAAUGUUAAUAGAGGUAAAGGCAAUCCAUUGUUUCUUGGCUCCAAUUAACUACUUUCAGUAGAUACGCAAUGCACAAAUUUCUGUGUCACUUUAUGUAUGAUAUGAGCGUGAACUUAUUGCCAUUUUAUAAGUUCAAGUCUGCUGAAAUGCAAGUGUUAGGACAAUUCGCCUGCCCAAACUUCCAGGUCCUGGAAAUCUAGCUACAUCUGUUCUUAGUCCUCAGUUCUUAAUCAUAUAUGUGUAUCUUGCGUGUGAGGAUAUGUUAAAAGUUAAAGGCAUCCACACACCCACUUGAGGCACAUAGAGAGGCAAGGUGAAGCAAAUGCUGCUCAAGAGAAAAGAUUCACUUGCACCCUUUCUACUUUCGAAGUUUCGUUAAAUGCCUUGUGAAUCUUCAUUCUGUUUCUCUUGUGCAGUCUAAGGAUGAAUGUGAAUACCUAAACAUGGUGGAGGAGGGGUCUCCUUUUGUUUUGGUGUUUCUCUUGGUAGAAACAAGGAAUUGCGAAUGCUACCAUCCUCAUGGACAGUUUGCUUCUGAUUAAGUUUUUGCGAAAAGAUAUUAAACCGGAUGAGUGGUUAUUUAAUAGGUUGAACUCUAUAUCGAUUGUAAAUUUCAGUAAAGUCUCAGUGCAAGGGAGGGCCACUUAUUGUAUAUUUGUAUGACUGUUGUAUUUUGGUAAUGGUAUAGUCUGGAUCUCUCCCUCUCUCUUCA
This is a long non-coding RNA of Rhododendron vialii, 1265 nucleotides long. RefSeq lists it as uncharacterized. The record is from RefSeq and is a predicted model, not a curated record. NCBI's taxonomy places the organism in Eukaryota, Viridiplantae, Streptophyta, Magnoliopsida, Ericales, Ericaceae. The transcript is spliced from 4 exons.